ACGGAAGGCAGCAGUGAGGAAUAUUGGUCAAUGGACGGAAGUCUGAAUCAGCCAAGUCGCGUGAAGGAUGAAGGUAUUAUGUAUUGUAAACUUCUUUAGCAGUGGAGUAAUAAGGGGAUCGUGAUCCCUGAUGCAAGUACACUGAGAAUAAGGAUCGGCUAACUCCGUGCCAGCAGCCGCGGUAAUACGGAGGAUCCGAGCGUUAUCCGGAUUUAUUGGGUUUAAAGGGUGCGCAGGCGGCUUUUUAAGUCAGUGGUUAAAUCGUGACGCUCAACGUCAUCACGCCAUUGAUACUGGAGAGCUUGAUUGCGGUCGAGGUUUGCGGAAUUCGUUGUGUAGCGGUGAAAUGCAUAGAUAUGACGAAGAACACCGAUUGCGUAGGCAGCAGACCAGGCCGUAAAUGACGCUCAUGCACGAAAGUGCGGGGAUCGAACAGGAUUAGAUACCCUGGUA
RNAcentral lists this ribosomal RNA (453 nucleotides) under uncultured Porphyromonadaceae bacterium. RNAcentral describes it as "partial 16S ribosomal RNA". It matches the Rfam family "Bacterial small subunit ribosomal RNA", at positions 341 to 792 of the family's 1533-position model. The record is from RNAcentral. Lineage: Bacteria; Pseudomonadati; Bacteroidota; Bacteroidia; Bacteroidales; Porphyromonadaceae.